UGACUCCCUACUUCACUAGCACUUCUCCAGUAACCGUUUGCUAUGAUCACCACUUUUAUCCAAUUUUCAUUUUCAUCAUUUUGAAUGAAGCCAAAUAAGGAAAAAAAUUCAGAAUUUGGCCCAAGGAAAUGUCCCAACCAACAAAAGAACCAAACAGAAUCUCUAUUUACAUAUUCAGCAAGAGUUGGCCUAUUCGGACAAUGGGGAAUGAGAAAUUCAGAUCACAAGCAAGCUCUACGUUUGUGUCAAGGCUGUAGAACCACUCUGCUGGCCAAGUUGAGGAAUGAGUUCCCUAGCAUCAUCCCAUGUGUCUGGCUCCAGGACCCAAAAUACCAUCAACAACAAGCAUGCAGUUGGCAACUGUAUCUUUCAGACUUGCUCAUAAACACACACCUAUAUAUAUACCCACAUAUCACAUUUCCUUGCCCAAUGAGGAAUGAGAAGAAAACACUUGUCCUGCAGCAGUAGAACAAUAAAUUAACCAUAAAGGGAUGAAUCAUAAACAUCAUCCGAGUAAAUCAUCAAAACAUUCACUUGUUGAGAAAAAUAUUAUCAUUUCUCUUACCAUGUAUUCUAGCAUCACUGAAUUAAACCCUAAAAAUUCUGAAAUGAUGGGCUUAUUCUUCUUCAACAAGACUUUUUUCUACCUGCACUCAAUUGGGGCCUGUGAUUUCUCCUUCACACAAAGAGUAGAGAGGAGAACCCAGAAAAGAUUCCCAUCAUGGGUUCCAAAUAUUCAAAAACUGAUACUUUGGGGACACAGAGUUCAGUAGAAACUACUGAAGUUAGGGAGGGGAUGGCGAGGCUCAGCUAUUUUUCUCUGCAGAAGAAUGGAGCAUUCAGAAUCAGUCUGUUGCUGAUAGGAUUACUGAGCAUCCAUCGUGGACCACACACAGCCCUCAAGAUCUCUUCUGCCAACACAUGAAGAAGCUGGUGUACGAAUGGAUUUGAUGGAAGGUUUUUAAGGGCAAAUAAUUCAAAAUAGCAGGCUAUUAUUUCUAUUACUUAACAACUCUAAAAUCAUGAUGUAUAUGUAAAUAAUUUAUCAAGGGAAUGGUUAGAAGAAUGAGUAUUGCUCAGCUCUUCUAUUGGUCUUGGCAGAAAAAAAUACGUGGCUCUACUACUGGGAUAGGACUCGUAAGACAAAUCUGACUUUUUUUUUUUUUUAAUUUGUUUAUUUGACAGAGAGACACACAGCAAGAGAGGGAACACGAACAGGGAGAGUGGGAGAAGGAGAAGCAGGCUUCCCACAGAGCAGAGAGCCCAACACGGGGCUCAAUCCCAGGACCCUGGGAUCAUGACCCGAGCCGAAGGCAGACGCCUAACGACUGAACCAUCCAGGUGCCCCCAAAUCUGACUUUUUAAAAUGUGGUGGGGGGAAAAAAUGUAGCUGUUUGUAUAAAUACAGGGAAACAUAUAGGAGAAUAUUUAACAAUAGUAGUUACGAGGCAGUGAGGUUAAGAAAGGAACAAAUUUUUAAAUUUUCUUCAAAAGUCCUUUUUUUUUUUAAAGAUUUUAUUUACUUAUUUAUUUGACAAAGAGAAAUCACAAGUAGAUGGAGAGGCAGGCAGAGAGAGAGAGAGAGGGAAGCAGACUCCCUGCUGAGCAGAGGGCCUGAUGCGGUACUCGAUCCCAGGACCCUGGGAUCAUGACCUGAGCCGAAGGCAGCAGCUUAACCCACUAAGCCACCCAGGUGCCCUCAUAAGUCCUUUUUAUUUAACCUCUUAAAACAAACAUAAAUUCCUCUUUUAAUUAAAAAAAAAUAAUGUACUCUCUCUCUCUCUUUCUUUUUUUUAAAGUUUUUCUUUUGUUUUUUGGUUUUUUUUUUUGGUUUGUUUUUUUUAUUUAACAGAGAGCAAGAGAGAGCACAAGCAAGGGGAGCAGCAGGCAGAGGGAGAGGGAGAAGCAGGCUCCCUACUGAGCAGGCAGCCCGACAUGGGACUCCAUCCCAGGACCCUGGGAUCAUGACCUGAGCCAAAGGCAGACACUUAACCAUCUGAGCCACCCAGGAGCCCUCUCUCUGUCUCUCUCCCUCUCAAAUAAAUAAAUAAAAACCUUUAAAAAUAAUAAUAAUGCAAAUACCCUUUUUAUUCCCAAAUAUACUUUUAAAAAGAAUUCUUCUACCUGAAUAGAAUGAACAAUUUCCUCUUUUACUUCUCAGAUCAGGAAAUUUCCAUUUAGGAGAAGAAUCCACGCCUGAAACUGUUUAUGAAAGGAAAAUCAGUAUAAAGCUUUACAGAGGAAGAAUUUUUUUUUUUUAAGGAAAUUUGUAAAAAGAAAAUUGCUUCCUAGCUGAGACCAUGAAUGGCAAGUUGCAGCUGAGAGUGAAUUUUUAAUACUUGGUUAAAAGUCCUUGAUAAU
RNAcentral lists this long non-coding RNA (2361 nucleotides) under Mustela putorius furo (domestic ferret). RNAcentral describes it as "lncRNA (ENSMPUG00000031601.1)". Lineage: Eukaryota; Metazoa; Chordata; Mammalia; Carnivora; Mustelidae. The record is from RNAcentral.